GACGAACGCUGGCGGCGUGCUUAACACAUGCAAGUCGAACGAUGAAGCCGGAGCUUGCUCUGGUGAAUUAGUGGCGAACGGGUGAGUAACACGUGAGUAACCUGCCCUUGACUCUGGGAUAACUGCUAGAAAUGGUAGCUAAUACCGGAUACGACCCUCGGCGGCAUCGCCAGGGGGUGGAAAGAAUUUCGGUCAAGGAUGGACUCGCGGCCUAUCAGCUAGUUGGUGAGGUAACGGCUCACCAAGGCGACGACGGGUAGCCGGCCUGAGAGGGUGACCGACCACACUGGGACUGAGAAACGGCCCAGACUCCUACGGGGGGCAGCAGUGGGGAAUAUUGCACAAUGGGCGCAAGCCUGAUGCAGCAACGCCGCGUGAGGGAUGACGGCCUUCGGGUUGUAAACCUCUUUUAGUAGGGAAGAAGCGAAAGUGACGGUACCUGCAGAAAAAGCACCGGCUAACUACGUGCCAGCCGCCGCCGUAA
RNAcentral lists this ribosomal RNA (484 nucleotides) under uncultured bacterium. RNAcentral describes it as "partial 16S ribosomal RNA". It matches the Rfam family "Bacterial small subunit ribosomal RNA", at positions 28 to 523 of the family's 1533-position model. The record is from RNAcentral.